GUGGCAACCCACUCCAGUGUUCUUGCCUGGAGAAUCCCAGGGACGGGGGAGCCUGGUGGGCUGCCGUCUAUGGGGUCGCACAGAGUCGGACACGACUGAAGUGACUUAGCAGCAGCAGCAGCAGGACUUAACUCAGGUAGUGUUUCAUCACAACCACAAUGCCUAUCGAGGAAGCACCUCAAAGUGUCAAGGGUCCAGCUGGAGAUCACAAUUAGCAGCCGAUGUAAGCGUUCACAAUCAAAGCUGGGAGAUACUUGUCACAAGGAAUUCAUCAUAACGUAUCUCAUACCUGACAAAAGCUUUCAAAAGAGAUAAAAUGGACCAAAUCAGAACUGCGAUGUCCAUCAUCA
Molecule: long non-coding RNA, 350 nt
Organism: Dama dama (fallow deer)
Lineage: Eukaryota; Metazoa; Chordata; Mammalia; Artiodactyla; Cervidae
Exons: 3
Source: RefSeq, a predicted model, not a curated record